Bos taurus (domestic cattle) is the source of this 72-nucleotide non-coding RNA. NCBI's taxonomy places the organism in Eukaryota, Metazoa, Chordata, Mammalia, Artiodactyla, Bovidae. The record is from Rfam.
UCCAUGGUAGCUCAGCUGGUAAAGAAUCUGCCUGCAAUGCAGGGGACCCAGGUUCGAUCCCUGGGUUGGGAA